RNAcentral lists this ribosomal RNA (259 nucleotides) under uncultured bacterium. RNAcentral describes it as "partial 16S ribosomal RNA". It matches the Rfam family "Bacterial small subunit ribosomal RNA", at positions 524 to 777 of the family's 1533-position model. The record is from RNAcentral.
UACGUAGGGUGCGAGCGUUGUCCGGAAUUACUGGGCGUAAAGAGCUCGUAGGUGGUUUGUCGCGUUUGUCCGUGAAAUUCCUGGCUUAACUGGGGCGAUGCGGCGAUACGGGCAGACUGGAGUACUGCGAGGGGAGACUGGAAUUCUGGUGAUAGUCGGUGGAAUACGCAGAUAUCAGGAGGAACGACCGGUGGCGAAGGCGGGUCACUGGGCCGAAACUGACGCUGGAGGAGCGAAAUGCCGUGGGGAGCGAACAGGA